GUAGGCGGUUUGUCACGUCUGCUGUGAAAUCCCGAGGCUCAACCUCGGUCUGCAGUGGGUACGGGCAGACUGGAGUGCGUAGGGGAGAAUGGAAUUCCUGGUGUAGCGGUGGAAUGCGCAGAUAUCAGGAGGAACACCGAUGGCGAAGGCAGUUCUUUGGGCCGUAACUGACGCUGAGGAGCGAAAGCGUGGGGAGCGAACAGGAUUAGAUACCCUGGUAGUCCACGCCGUAAACGUUGGGCGCUAGAUGUGGGGACCUUUCCACGGUUUCCGUGUCGUAGCUAACGCAUUAAGCGCCCCGCCUGGGGAGUACGGCCGCAAGGCUAAAACUCAAAGGAAUUGACGGGGGCCCGCACAAGCGGCGGAGCAUGCGGAUUAAUUCGAUGCAACGCGAAGAACCUUACCAAGGCUUGACAUAACCGAGAACGCCGCAGAAAUGUGGAACUCUUUGGACACUCGGUUACAGGUGGUGCAUGGUUGUCGUCAGCUCGUGUCGUGAGAUGUUGGGUUAAGUCCCGCAACGAGCGCAACCCUCGUCGUAUGUUGCCAGCACGUGAUGGUGGGAACUCAUAUGAGACUGCCGGGGUCAACUCGGAGGAAGGUGGGGAUGACGUCAAAUCAUCAUGCCCCUUAUGUCUUGGGCUUCACGCAUGCUACAAUGGCCGGUACAAAGGGCUGCGAUGUCGUAAGGCGGAGCGAAUCCCAAAAAGCCGGUCUCAGUUCGGAUUGAGGUCUGCAACUCGACCUCAUGAAGUCGGAGUCGCUAGUAAUCGCAGAUCAGCAACGCUGCGGUGAAUACGUUCCCGGGCCUUGUACACACCGCCCGUCAAGUCAUGAAAGUCGGUAACACCCGAAGCCAGUGGCCUAACCGCAAGGAGGGAGCUGUCGAAGGUGGGAUCGGUGAUUAGGACUAAGUCGUAACAAGGUAGCCGUACCGGAAGG
Molecule: ribosomal RNA, 942 nt
Filed under: uncultured bacterium
Lineage: Bacteria
Description: bacterial SSU rRNA
Rfam family: Bacterial small subunit ribosomal RNA
Source: RNAcentral